Paragonimus kellicotti is the source of this 86-nucleotide non-coding RNA. NCBI's taxonomy places the organism in Eukaryota, Metazoa, Platyhelminthes, Trematoda, Plagiorchiida, Troglotrematidae. The record is from the annotation of a GenBank genome assembly.
GGCUUCGUAGCUCAGCUGGUAGAGCGCUGCGCUCGUUGAGGGAUACAUGCGUGUUUCUGUCGCUGGUUCGAAUCCAGCCGAUGCCC